RNAcentral lists this ribosomal RNA (560 nucleotides) under Fusobacterium canifelinum. Its description in RNAcentral is "bacterial SSU rRNA". It matches the Rfam family "Bacterial small subunit ribosomal RNA", at positions 147 to 721 of the family's 1533-position model. The record is from RNAcentral. Lineage: Bacteria; Fusobacteriati; Fusobacteriota; Fusobacteriia; Fusobacteriales; Fusobacteriaceae.
CAUUUAGAAAUGAAUGCUAAUACCUAAUAUUAUGAUAAUAGGGCAUCCUAUAAUUAUGAAAGCUAUAUGCGCUGUGAGAGAGCUUUGCGUCCCAUUAGCUAGUUGGAGAGGUAACGGCUCACCAAGGCGAUGAUGGGUAGCCGGCCUGAGAGGGUGAUCGGCCACAAGGGGACUGAGACACGGCCCUUACUCCUACGGGAGGCAGCAGUGGGGAAUAUUGGACAAUGGACCGAGAGUCUGAUCCAGCAAUUCUGUGUGCACGAUGAAGUUUUUCGGAAUGUAAAGUGCUUUCAGUUGGGAAGAAAGAAAUGACGGUACCAACAGAAGAAGUGACGGCUAAAUACGUGCCAGCAGCCGCGGUAAUACGUAUGUCACGAGCGUUAUCCGGAUUUAUUGGGCGUAAAGCGCGUCUAGGUGGUUAUAUAAGUCUGAUGUGAAAAUGCAGGGCUCAACUCUGUAUUGCGUUGGAAACUGUAUAACUAGAGUACUGGAGAGGUAAGCGGAACUACAAGUGUAGAGGUGAAAUUCGUAGAUAUUUGUAGGAAUGCCGAUGGGGAAGC